CAGCAGCCACGGUAAUACGAAGGGUGCAAGCGUUACUCGGAAUUACUGGGCGUAAAGCGUGCGUAGGUGGUUGUUUAAGUCUGCUGUGAAAGCCCUGGGCUCAACCUGGGAAUUGCAGUGGAUACUGGGCGACUAGAGUAAGGUAGAGGAUAGUGGAAUUUCCGGUGUAGCAGUGAAAUGCGUAGAGAUCGGAAGGAACAUCUGUGGCGAAGGCGACUAUCUGGGCCAUUACUGACACUGAGGCACGAAAGCGUGGGGAGCAAACAGGAUUAGAUACCCCCGUAUCCCUGUCUCUUAUACA
Molecule: ribosomal RNA, 301 nt
Filed under: uncultured bacterium
Lineage: Bacteria
Description: partial 16S ribosomal RNA
Rfam family: Bacterial small subunit ribosomal RNA
Source: RNAcentral